This 391-nucleotide unclassified non-coding RNA is filed under the name soil metagenome. RNAcentral describes it as "partial contains 5.8S ribosomal RNA, internal transcribed spacer 2, and large subunit ribosomal RNA". The stretch from base 1 to 122 matches the Rfam family "5.8S ribosomal RNA", at positions 35 to 154 of the family's 154-position model. The record is from RNAcentral.
GAUGAAGAACGUAGCGAAAUGCGAUACUUGGUGUGAAUUGCAGAAUCCCGUGAACCAUCGAGUCUUUGAACGCAAGUUGCGCCCGAAGCCACUAGGCCGAGGGCACGCCUGCCUGGGCGUCACACGCCGUUGCCCCCCCAUCUACUCCUUCGGGAUUGCGGGGGGGCGGAUGAUGGCCUCCUGUGCGCUUAGCCGCGCGGUUGGCAUAAAUACCAAGUCCUCGGCGACGCACGCCACGACAAUCGGUGGUUGCGAAACCUCGGUUGCCCGUCGUGUGCGUUCGUCGCGCAUCGAGGGCUCGAAAAAAUGCUCGGCUCCGGCUGGGCUUUCAACGCGACCCCAGGUCAGGCGGGGUUACCCGCUGAAUUUAAGCAUAUCAAUAAGCGGAGGA